This 687-nucleotide long non-coding RNA is filed under the name Homo sapiens (human). Its description in RNAcentral is "non-protein coding lnc-CNOT6-9:1". Lineage: Eukaryota; Metazoa; Chordata; Mammalia; Primates; Hominidae. The record is from RNAcentral.
GGAAACAAAUGGGAAGACCAGAACAGUGAAAGUCAUUUCAAUAAUUCUGGAAAAAAUUUAUGAAGUCCUAUGGGAGAAAGACUCUGUGAAUGUAAAGAAGGUAGUCAUUGUGGAGAAAUAUUCGGCCAGAUUCCAAAUCUGAACCUGAAGAAGAAAAUUUCUGCUGAUGUAAAUUCAUGUGAAUGCAGAGUGUGUGGACAAGUCUUCACAUGUCCUUCAUCCCUUAAUAGGCACAUCUUAUCUCAUUCUGGACACAAACUACAUGCAUGGGAGAAACGUGGGGUGAAGCCAUACAAAUGUAAACAAUGUGAGAAAACCUUCAUUUCUCUCACAAAUGUCCAAAGACACAUGGUAACACACACUGGUAACAGGCCUCAUAAAUGUAAGAAAUGUGGGAAGACAUUUAAGUUUCUCUAUUUACUUCAAAGACACAAAGUAAUUUACAACGGAGAAAAACCCUGUGAAUGGAAGAAAGGUGGUAAAGCCUUGAGAUUUUGCAGUUAUUUUCAAAAACAUAAAAGAACUCACAGUGGGGAAAAACCUUAUAAAUGUCAGAAAUGUGAGAAAGCCUUUGGACAUUCUGGUUACCUUCAUAACCAUAAAGGUGCUCAUGCUGAAGAGAAACCCCGUGAAUGUAGGAAAUGUGGGAAACGAUUCAGUUUUUGUAGUUACUUUCAAAGACAUAAA